This 252-nucleotide ribosomal RNA is filed under the name uncultured prokaryote. RNAcentral's name for it is "partial 16S ribosomal RNA". It matches the Rfam family "Bacterial small subunit ribosomal RNA", at positions 524 to 775 of the family's 1533-position model. The record is from RNAcentral.
UACAGAGGUCUCAAGCGUUGUUCGGAUUCAUUGGGCGUAAAGGGUGCGUAGGCGGCGCGGUAAGUCGGGUGUGAAGUUUCGAGGCUUAACUUCGAAACUGCAUUCGAUACUGCCGUGCUUGAGGACUGGAGAGGAGACUGGAAUUUACGGUGUAGCGGUGAAAUGCGUAGAUAUCGUAAGGAAGACCAGUGGCGAAGGCGAGUCUCUGGACAUUUCCUGACGCUGAGGCACGAAAGCCAGGGGAGCAAACGG